Molecule: ribosomal RNA, 251 nt
Filed under: uncultured prokaryote
Description: partial 16S rRNA
Rfam family: Bacterial small subunit ribosomal RNA
Source: RNAcentral
ACGGAGGGUGCAAGCGUUAUUCGGAAUUACUGGGCGUAAAGCGCGUGUAGGCGGUCCUGCAAGUCUGAUGUGAAAGCCCCGGGCUCAACCCGGGAAGUGCAUUGGAAACUGUGGGACUUGAGUACUGGAGAGGAUGGGGGAAUGCCCGGUGUAGAGGUGAAAUUCGUAGAGAUCAGGAGGAAUAUCGAUUGCGAAGGCGCCCAUCAAGACGGUAACUGACGCUGAGACGCGAAAGCGUGGGGAGCAAACAG